AGAGUUUGAUCCUGGCUCAGGAUGAACGCUGGCGGCGUGCUUAACACAUGCAAGUCGAGCGGACCGAUCUAAAGGAAACCUUCGGGUGGAAAGUAGUGAGGUUAGCGGCGGACGGGUGAGUAACGCGUGGGUAACCUGCCCUAUGCAGGGGGAUAACACAUCGAAAGAUGUGCUAAUACCCCAUAAUACUAAACUAACACAUGUUGGUUUAGUCAAAGGAUUUCCGGCAUAGGAUGGACCCGCGUCUGAUUAGCUAGUUGGUGGGGUAAAGGCCUACCAAGGCGACGAUCAGUAGCCGACCUGAGAGGGUGAUCGGCCACACUGGAACUGAGACACGGUCCAGACUCCUACGGGAGGCAGCAGUGGGGAAUAUUGCACAAUGGGCGAAAGCCUGAUGCAGCAACGCCGCGUGAGCGAAGAAGGCCUUCGGGUCGUAAAGCUCUGUCCUAAGGGAAGAAUAAUGACGGUACCUUAGGAGGAAGCCCCGGCUAACUACGUGCCAGCAGCCGCGGUAAUACGUAGGGGGCGAGCGUUAUCCGGAAUCACUGGGCGUAAAGGGUGCGUAGGCGGCCAAAUAAGCCAGAGGUGAAAGGCUACGGCUCAACCGUAGUAAGCCUUUGGAACUGUAUGGCUUGAGUGCAGGAGAGGAGAGUGGAAUUCCUAGUGUAGCGGUGAAAUGCGUAGAUAUUAGGAGGAACACCAGUGGCGAAGGCGACUCUCUGGACUGCAACUGACGCUGAGGCACGAAAGCGUGGGGAGCGAACAGGAUUAGAUACCCUGGUAGUCCACGCCGUANACGAUGAGUGCUAGGUGUCGGGGGUUCACACCCUCGGUGCCGGAGUUAACGCAUUAAGCACUCCGCCUGGGGAGUACGGUCGCAAGACUGAAACUCAAAGGAAUUGACGG
RNAcentral lists this ribosomal RNA (906 nucleotides) under uncultured bacterium. Its description in RNAcentral is "bacterial SSU rRNA". It matches the Rfam family "Bacterial small subunit ribosomal RNA", at positions 8 to 916 of the family's 1533-position model. The record is from RNAcentral.